This 544-nucleotide ribosomal RNA is filed under the name Linnemannia elongata. RNAcentral's name for it is "eukaryotic LSU rRNA". The stretch from base 167 to 320 matches the Rfam family "5.8S ribosomal RNA". Lineage: Eukaryota; Fungi; Mortierellomycota; Mortierellomycetes; Mortierellales; Mortierellaceae. The record is from RNAcentral.
ACCUGCGGAAGGAUCAUUCAUAAUAAGUGUUUUAUGGCACUUUUUAAAUCCAUAUCCACCUUGUGUGCAAUGUCAGUCGAUCUUCUUCAUGGAGAUCGACCAAACAUCAACCUUUAUUUUUUAACUCUUUGUCUGAAAAAUAUUAUGAAUAAACAAUUCAAAAUACAACUUUCAACAACGGAUCUCUUGGCUCUCGCAUCGAUGAAGAACGCAGCGAAAUGCGAUACGUAAUGUGAAUUGCAGAAUUCAGUGAAUCAUCGAAUCUUUGAACGCAUAUUGCGCUCUUUGGUAUUCCGAAGAGCAUGCUUGUUUGAGUAUCAGUAAACACCUCAAAGCUUUUGGAUUUUUUAAUCGAAAAGCUUUGGACUUGAGCAAUCCCAACACCAAUCUUUUUGAGAUCGGUGGCGGGUUGCUUGAAAUGCAGGUGCAGCUGGACAUUCUCCUGAGCUAAAAGCAUAUUCAUUUAGUCCCGUCAAACGGAUUAUUACUUUUGCUGCAGCUAACAUAAAGGGAGUUUGACCGUAUUGGCUGACUGAUGCAGGAU